AUGCAGUCGAGCGGUAGAGAGAAGCUUGCUUCUCUUGAGAGCGGCGGACGGGUGAGUAAUGCCUAGGAAUCUGCCUGGUAGUGGGGGAUAACGUUCGGAAACGGACGCUAAUACCGCAUACGUCCUACGGGAGAAAGCAGGGGACCUUCGGGCCUUGCGCUAUCAGAUGAGCCUAGGUCGGAUUAGCUAGUUGGUGAGGUAAUGGCUCACCAAGGCGACGAUCCGUAACUGGUCUGAGAGGAUGAUCAGUCACACUGGAACUGAGACACGGUCCAGACUCCUACGGGAGGCAGCAGUGGGGAAUAUUGGACAAUGGGCGAAAGCCUGAUCCAGCCAUGCCGCGUGUGUGAAGAAGGUCUUCGGAUUGUAAAGCACUUUAAGUUGGGAGGAAGGGCAGUUACCUAAUACGUGAUUGUUUUGACGUUACCGACAGAAUAAGCACCGGCUAACUCUGUGCCAGCAGCCGCGGUAAUACAGAGGGUGCAAGCGUUAAUCGGAAUUACUGGGCGUAAAGCGCGCGUAGGUGGUUUGUUAAGUUGGAUGUGAAAUCCCCGGGCUCAACCUGGGAACUGCAUUCAAAACUGACUGACUA
This 592-nucleotide ribosomal RNA is filed under the name Pseudomonas sp. SOK50. RNAcentral's name for it is "bacterial SSU rRNA". It matches the Rfam family "Bacterial small subunit ribosomal RNA", at positions 55 to 643 of the family's 1533-position model. The record is from RNAcentral. RNAcentral also lists the same sequence under 1 other name. Lineage: Bacteria; Pseudomonadati; Pseudomonadota; Gammaproteobacteria; Pseudomonadales; Pseudomonadaceae.